UCAACCGUCACUCGUCCAGCUGCC
RNAcentral lists this non-coding RNA (24 nucleotides) under Arabidopsis thaliana (thale cress). The record is from RNAcentral. Lineage: Eukaryota; Viridiplantae; Streptophyta; Magnoliopsida; Brassicales; Brassicaceae.